Molecule: ribosomal RNA, 459 nt
Filed under: uncultured bacterium
Lineage: Bacteria
Description: partial 16S ribosomal RNA
Rfam family: Bacterial small subunit ribosomal RNA
Source: RNAcentral
CCUACGGGAGGCUGCAGUGAGGAAUAUUGGUCAAUGGCCGAGAGGCUGAACCAGCCAAGUCGCGUGAGGGAAGACGGCCCUACGGGUUGUAAACCUCUUUUGUCGGGGAGCAAAGCGAGUCACGUGUGACUCAUUGAGAGUACCCGAAGAAAAAGCAUCGGCUAACUCCGUGCCGGCAGCCUCGGUAAGACGGAGGAUGCGAGCGGUAUCCGGAUUGAUUGGGUUGAAAGGGUGCGCAGGGGGAGGUGCAAGUCAGCGGUCAAAUGGCGGGGCUCAACCCCGUACUGCCGUUGAAACUGCAUCCCUUGAGUGCGCGAGAAGUAUGCGGAAUGCGUGGUGUAGCGGUGAAAUGCAUAGAUAUCACGCAGAACUCCGAUGGCGAAGGCAGCAUACCGGCGCGCAACUGACGCUCAUGAACGAAAGCGUGGGUAUCGAACAGGAUUAGAUACCCCAGUAGUC